AUUCCUACAUAGCUGGUGGGACC
This 23-nucleotide small nuclear RNA is filed under the name Arabidopsis thaliana (thale cress). Its description in RNAcentral is "snRNA_13438". The record is from RNAcentral. Lineage: Eukaryota; Viridiplantae; Streptophyta; Magnoliopsida; Brassicales; Brassicaceae.